CAGUAGCCGCGGUAAUACGUAGGUGGCAAGCGUUGUCCGGAAUUAUUGGGCGUAAAGCGCGCGCAGGCGGUUUUUUAAGUCUGAUGUGAAAGCCCACGGCUCAACCGUGGAGGGUCAUUGGAAACUGGAAAACUUGAGUGCAGAAGAGGAAAGUGGAAUUUCACGUGUAGCGGUGAAAUGCGCAGAGAUAUGGAGGAACACCAGUGGCGAAGGCGACUUUCUGGUCUGUAACUGACGCUGAUGUGCGAAAGCGUGGGGAUCAAACAGGAUUAGAGACCCCGGUAGUCCCUGUCUCUUAUAC
RNAcentral lists this ribosomal RNA (301 nucleotides) under uncultured bacterium. RNAcentral's name for it is "partial 16S ribosomal RNA". It matches the Rfam family "Bacterial small subunit ribosomal RNA", at positions 509 to 807 of the family's 1533-position model. The record is from RNAcentral.